This 253-nucleotide ribosomal RNA is filed under the name uncultured bacterium. RNAcentral describes it as "partial 16S ribosomal RNA". It matches the Rfam family "Bacterial small subunit ribosomal RNA", at positions 524 to 776 of the family's 1533-position model. The record is from RNAcentral.
GACGAGUCUCACAAACGUUAUUCGGAAUUACUGGGCUUAAAGGGUGCGUAGGCGGCCAACUAAGUCAGACGUGAAAUCCCUCGGCUUAACCGGGGAACUGCGUCUGAUACUGGAUGGCUUGAGUUUGGGAGAGGGAUGCGGAAUUCCAGGUGUAGCGGUGAAAUGCGUAGAUAUUGGGAAGAACACCGGUGGCGAAGGCGGCUAUCUGGACCGACAUUGACGCUGAGGCGCGAAAGCGUGGGGAGCAAACAGG